RNAcentral lists this transfer RNA (73 nucleotides) under Canis lupus familiaris (dog). It matches the Rfam family "tRNA". Rfam says of the family: Transfer RNA (tRNA) molecules are approximately 80 nucleotides in length. Their secondary structure includes four short double-helical elements and three loops (D, anti-codon, and T loops). Further hydrogen bonds mediate the characteristic L-shaped molecular structure. tRNAs have two regions of fundamental functional importance: the anti-codon, which is responsible for specific mRNA codon recognition, and the 3' end, to which the tRNAs corresponding amino acid is attached (by aminoacyl-tRNA synthetases). tRNAs cope with the degeneracy of the genetic code in two manners: having more than one tRNA (with a specific anti-codon) for a particular amino acid; and 'wobble' base-pairing, i.e. permitting non-standard base-pairing at the 3rd anti-codon position. Lineage: Eukaryota; Metazoa; Chordata; Mammalia; Carnivora; Canidae. RNAcentral also lists the same sequence under 1 other name. The record is from Rfam by way of RNAcentral.
ACCUGGCUGGCUCAAUUGGUGGAGAGUGGGACUCUUGAUCUCGUGAUCGUGAGUUCGAGCCCCAUGUUGGGUG